Long non-coding RNA from Callithrix jacchus (white-tufted-ear marmoset), 792 nucleotides. The record is from Ensembl. Lineage: Eukaryota; Metazoa; Chordata; Mammalia; Primates; Cebidae.
CACUGAGGACUUGGCCUUGCAGGUAGACUCCUGUUAGAUCCCGGCAGGCCAUUCCAAUACAAACAAACAAACAAGAGCCUGGCAAUGAGAAGAGAAACAACAGCACUGGCUGUUUGGCAUUGCUGGAGCACACACACAGCUGCUUAGGCUUUGUUCCACAGCACAGAGUAAAUCUCAAGAAAUUUCCUCAUAAAAAACAAAGAACUAGCACAGGGGAGUCUUAAAUAAGAGAAAUAGAUUCUGAGAGGUGUCAGCAUGAGUGGUUUUGAACAAAGGAAAAUGAAACAAUAUUCACCUUAAGAAUCUGAAUUACCUCUUUUUUUCCUAAUUGAGUAAAUGGAAAAAGAAGAGCGACAAGAAUGAGAAACAAGUAACUGGGCAGAAAAGGCCUGAGAUGGAAUAACACCACCACUACCACCACCACCAACAAACAGAGAAAAAUACAAUUGUAGACAGCAAGAAGAGAGAAUUCUGGGAAACUGUAAAGAAGCUGAUGGUCAACUUUCCCCACAUGUAGCAGAGAUUCAUGUUCAACUCUCGACAGUCUCCAGUGAAAGAACAUUAUUUUCCAGUUACUAUAUGGGCAUAUAAUUGGCUUACGUACUCUGACAAUUGUGUCACUGAUGCAUUAAUAUGUUGGGCUUAAGAAAGUGAUUUAUUUAAGAGAAAGAAAGAGCUAACUCUCACACUGAGUGAGAGAAUCCAGAAAGAUGGAAUCCAGGAGAGGAAAGCAGCUUCCACACUGAAUGGAAGGCAAUAGAGAGAGAUGGAAUUUAGGAGGAGAAGACAGGC